GAUGAACGCUGGCGGCAGGCCUAAUACAUGCAAGUCAAGGGGGCCCCGCCUUUGGGUCGGGGCGACCGGCGGACGGGUGAGCAGCGCGUACACAACGUGCCCCUCGACCGGGGGACGAGCGGCGGGAAACGUAGCCGGUAACACCCCACUGGCGCCGCGGGGCGGCAUUGCCCGGCGGCGAAAGUUUACGGUCGGUCGGGGAGUCGGUGUGCGUCCGAUUAGGUAGUUGGCGGGGUGACGGCCCACCAAGCCUGCGAUCGGAGGGGGUGGUGAGAGCACGG
Molecule: ribosomal RNA, 281 nt
Filed under: uncultured bacterium
Lineage: Bacteria
Description: partial 16S ribosomal RNA
Rfam family: Bacterial small subunit ribosomal RNA
Source: RNAcentral